CCUGGGUGGCUCAGUCGGUUGAGCGUCCGACUUUGGCUCGGGUCAUGAUCUUGCUGUUUGUGGGUUCGAGCCCCCCCAUCAGGC
RNAcentral lists this transfer RNA (84 nucleotides) under Felis catus (domestic cat). It matches the Rfam family "tRNA". Rfam says of the family: Transfer RNA (tRNA) molecules are approximately 80 nucleotides in length. The record is from Rfam by way of RNAcentral. Lineage: Eukaryota; Metazoa; Chordata; Mammalia; Carnivora; Felidae.